ACUGCUAUCGGGGUGGGACUAAGACAUGCGAGUCGAGCGUCUCUAGCUAUGUUGAGACGCGGCAUACGGCUCAGUAACACGUGGCUAACCUACCCUCAGGACGGGGACAAACCCGGGAAACUGGGGCUAAUAUCCGAUAGGCGAGGAAUCCUGGAAUGGUUCUUCACCCAAAGGACAUUGGAAACAUGCUUUCUCUGUCGCCUGGGGAUGGGGCCGCGUCCGAUCAGGUUGUUGGUGAGGUAAUGGCUCACCAAGCCUUUAACCGGUACGGGCCGUGAGAGCGGUAGCCCGGAGAUGGGUACUGAGACAAGGACCCAGGCCCUACGGGGCGCAGCAGUCGCGAAAACUCCGCAAUGCACGAAAGUGUGACGGGGCUACCCCGAGUGCCGUCCGCUGAGGAUGGCUUUUCCUUGGUGUAACUAGCCGGGGGAAUAAGGAGAGGGCAAGACUGGUGUCAGCCGCCGCGGUAAUACCAGCUCUCCGAGUGGUAGGGAUGAUUAUUGGGCUUAAAGCGUCCGUAGCCGGUUUAGCAAGUUUCCUGUUAAAUUCAGCGACCUAAUCGUUGAGCCGCGGGAAAUACUACUAGGCUAGGAGGCGGGAGAGGUCGACGGUACUUCUGGGGUAGGGGUGAAAUCCUAUAAUCCCGGGAGGACCACCAGUGGCGAAGGCUGUCGACUAGAACGCGCUCGACGGUGAGGGACGAAAGCUGGGGGAGCGAACCGGAUUAGAUACCCGGGUAGUCCCAGCUGUAAACGAUGCGGGCUGGGUGUUGGGGUGGCUACGUGCCACUUCAGUGCCGCAGGGAAGCCAUUAAGCCCGCCGCCUGGGGAGUACGGCCGCAAGGCUGAAACUUAAAGGAAUUGGCGGGGGAGCACCACAAGGCGUGAAG
Molecule: ribosomal RNA, 889 nt
Filed under: uncultured archaeon
Lineage: Archaea
Description: bacterial SSU rRNA
Rfam family: Archaeal small subunit ribosomal RNA
Source: RNAcentral